This is a long non-coding RNA of Etheostoma cragini (Arkansas darter), 421 nucleotides long. RefSeq lists it as uncharacterized. The record is from RefSeq and is a predicted model, not a curated record. The transcript has 3 exons. NCBI's taxonomy places the organism in Eukaryota, Metazoa, Chordata, Actinopteri, Perciformes, Percidae.
AAUAGCAGCUCAGAAAUGUAAAAAAGCAAAAUUUGCCAACUUUAAAUGGCUCAAUGAUUUUUAAACAGGAGUAGGUUGAAAGGUAUGAGUUUGUCUUGUGUGUUCACGACUAUAAAAUAAAUAUUUAUACAUAAAAAUGAUGCCCACCACCAUUAUCCACUGCUUACAACAGCAGGGCUAACAAAGCACUCAUUUUAUUUUUUGGUUGUAUCAUUUCCACAAUCAGUAUCAGUGACGAGAUGUAUCAUAUGUCCUUUGCCUAGAGCAGCUUUUUUUAAUAAUCACUUCAGCUCCUGCCUUCUUUGGCCAUUUCUUUCCAAACAAAUACCAGAUCAGAGUUCGUUUUAAACACAAAGUCAUACACAUGUGCACAUUUAUUGAAGGUGCAAACGUAACAUAUCAGGCAAACCUUGACGAUAAA